This 497-nucleotide ribosomal RNA is filed under the name uncultured bacterium. Its description in RNAcentral is "partial 16S ribosomal RNA". It matches the Rfam family "Bacterial small subunit ribosomal RNA", at positions 28 to 507 of the family's 1533-position model. The record is from RNAcentral.
GAUGAACGCUGGCGGCGUGCCUAAUACAUGCAAGUCGAGCGAACAGACGAGGAGCUUGCUCCUCUGACGUUAGCGGCGGACGGGUGAGUAACACGUGGAUAACCUACCUAUAAGACUGGGAUAACUUCGGGAAACCGGAGCUAAUACCGGAUAAUAUAUUGAACCGCAUGGUUCAAUAGUGAAAGACGGUUUUGCGGUCACUAAUAGAUGGAUCCGCGCCGCAUUAGCUAGUUGGUAAGGUAACGGCUUACCAAGGCAACGAUGCGUAGCCGACCUGAAGGGGUGAUCGGCCACACUGGAACUGAGACACGGUCCAGACUCCUACGGGAGGCCGCAGUCGGGAAUCUUACGCAAUGGGCGAAAGCCUGACGGAGCAACGCCGCGUGAGUGAUGAAGGUCUUCGGAUCGUAAAACUCUGUUAUUAGGGAAGAACAAAUGUGUAAGUACCUAUGCACGUCUUGACGGUACCGAAUCAGAAAGCCACGGCUAACUACGUG